AACGCGAAGAACCUUACCUACUCUUGACAUCCUGCGAAUCUGACGUAAUGGUUGGAGUGCCGAAAGGAGCGCAGAGACAGGUGCUGCAUGGCUGUCGUCAGCUCGUGUUGUGAGAUGUUGGGUUAAGUCCCGUAACGAGCGCAACCCUUAUCCUUAGUUACCAGCACGUAGAGGUGGGGACUCUAAGGAGACUGCCGGUGAAGAACCGGAGGAAGGCGGGGACGACGUCAAGUCAUCAUGGCCUUUAUGAGUAGGGCUACACACGUGCUACAAUGGAGCGUACAGAAGGAAGCCAACCCGCGAGGGGGAGCCAAUCCAACAAAGCGCUUCGUAGUCCGGAUUGAAGUCUGCAACUCGACUUCAUGAAGUUGGAAUCGCUAGUAAUCGCGAAUCAGCACUGUCGCGGUGAAUACGUUCCCGGGCCUUGUACACACCGGAGUGC
This 442-nucleotide ribosomal RNA is filed under the name uncultured bacterium. Its description in RNAcentral is "bacterial SSU rRNA". It matches the Rfam family "Bacterial small subunit ribosomal RNA", at positions 958 to 1398 of the family's 1533-position model. The record is from RNAcentral.